RNAcentral lists this transfer RNA (82 nucleotides) under Ipomoea nil (Japanese morning glory). It matches the Rfam family "tRNA". From Rfam's summary of the family: Transfer RNA (tRNA) molecules are approximately 80 nucleotides in length. Their secondary structure includes four short double-helical elements and three loops (D, anti-codon, and T loops). Lineage: Eukaryota; Viridiplantae; Streptophyta; Magnoliopsida; Solanales; Convolvulaceae. The record is from Rfam by way of RNAcentral.
GUUGAUAUGUCCGAGUGGUUAAGGAGACAGACUUGAAAUCUAUUGGGCUAUGCUUGCGCAGGUUUGAACCCUGCUGUCGACA